GUGCCGUAAACUAUGAGUAAGGAAAAUAAUAAGCCUUGGUAACGCUUGGCUUUACAAGGCUAGUUUUCUUGUAAAACAAUUUUUGAGGGGAAGAAGGUCCUCCAUAGGUGGUCAACCUACUUCGUUGGCUGCCUGAAGUGUGGGAUCUGUCCC
Small nuclear RNA from Styela clava, 153 nucleotides. RefSeq annotates it as U12 minor spliceosomal RNA. Lineage: Eukaryota; Metazoa; Chordata; Ascidiacea; Stolidobranchia; Styelidae. The record is from RefSeq and is a predicted model, not a curated record.